UGCGGGCAUGUCCAAGACAUAU
Molecule: microRNA, 22 nt
Filed under: Drosophila virilis
Lineage: Eukaryota; Metazoa; Arthropoda; Insecta; Diptera; Drosophilidae
Description: dvi-miR-9708b-5p
Source: miRBase by way of RNAcentral